UCUGCAGUGAGUGCUGGGGAGUUUGACCUUCUGGCCUGCUGAGGAACCUCAGGAGAGGGGUUCCCUGUGUGGGUUCCCAGCGGAGCGGAGGAGAAGGUGGACGGGUGUGGAGUUGUAGCUGAUCAUCCUUCCCAGACCUGGAGUCCAGGGGCCUGCAGUAGAGCUCCAGGGACACUGAACUCUGAGGCCUCGGGCUAGACACUUACCUAUGAGCCUCAGUUUCCUCCAUCUGUGAAGUGGGAAUUACAGCUGGGUGAGGAGGAAAGGGCAGGGCAGGGAUGGGUCUGAGGAACAAAUGAGCUAGGUGUGGAGGCCAUUUGAAGAGGGGGUGCCGGGGCACUUGGUGAUGUGGUCUCCCCUUCCCGUCAACAUAGUCACCCAGAAGUGCCUUCCAGCCCCCCUCCCCAAUUGGGUACACUUUGCUCCCACACAAGGCCUAGGGCCCACGUUGAUUUGAGGUCAGGACCUCUUCAAUGGCUUCUGGGAACUCCCCCAGCACCUUUCACACAGCACUGCUCUAUGCCACCCACCGUCUGCUGCUGACAUUCACCGUGAACCCUGGUCCCCCGGCUGCUGGGAUGAUGCAUCAGUCAUGGCACACGCACACACGCGUGACCGCCUGGCUAUGGGUACACUCAAACGAAGGGACACACCGCAGACCCAAAACCUGCUCCAGGAGGGUACCCCACAGCCUGGCACCCAUGCCAGGGUCAGGAUUCCCUUUCUGUCUCCAAGAUCCAACGUCGACGUCACUUCUCUGAAGUUUUCCCUGACUUCUGUCACUUCCCUCCUGCCUCUGACUUCUCCAAGCACCGUCUACCCACCUCUUCGGAACCUGUUAUUAUCUUGGACACCCUUGUAGGCAUGUGUCUUCAGACAGCUCUUUCUGGACAGGCAGGCAUGCCACCUUUGAAAAAUAUGAAUUUCUCGACAAAUACUGUAUGUUCUCAGUUCUAUGCAGAAUCUAAAAAUGUCAGUCUCAGGGCACCUGGGUGGCUCAGUCGGUGAAGCGUCUGCCUUCGGCUCAGGUCAUGAUCCCCAGGGUCCUGGGAUCGAGCCCUGCAUCAGGGCUCCCUGCUCAGCGGGGAGCCUGCUUCUCCUUCUCCCCGCUCAUGUUCUCUUUUGCUAUCUCCUCUCUCUCUCAAAUAAAUAAAUAAAAUCUUAAAAAAAAAAAAAUCCA
RNAcentral lists this long non-coding RNA (1180 nucleotides) under Ursus maritimus (polar bear). Its description in RNAcentral is "lncRNA (ENSUMAG00000022998.1)". The record is from RNAcentral. Lineage: Eukaryota; Metazoa; Chordata; Mammalia; Carnivora; Ursidae.